RNAcentral lists this long non-coding RNA (5156 nucleotides) under Salmo salar (Atlantic salmon). Its description in RNAcentral is "lncRNA (ENSSSAG00000055560.2)". Lineage: Eukaryota; Metazoa; Chordata; Actinopteri; Salmoniformes; Salmonidae. The record is from RNAcentral.
UAAACGUGUGAAUUUCUGAUUGCAGUUAAACUAGGACCACGAUUUACAAACUAAAAGGGACAGUUUGGAAUGAGUAGCUUACCUCAAAACUCUGAAGCGACUCAGUUUCCACUGGAGCAAUCGACAAUUCAAACAUGACGUGCUUCACUGGUGGAGAGAUGGGCAGCUCAACCAUGAUGGGUUUCACUGGUGGAGAGAUGGGCAGCUCAACCACAACAGGCUUCACUGGUGGAGAGAUGGGCAGCUCAACAGCGAUGGGCUCCACUGGUGGAGAGAUAGGCAGCUCAACCACGAUGGGCUUCACUGGUGGAGAGAAGGGCAGCUCAACCAUGAUGGGUUUCACUGGUGGAGAGAUGGGCAGCUCAACCAUGAUGGGUUUCACUGGUGGAGAGAUGGGCAGAUCAACCUUGAUGGGUUUCACUGGUGUAGAGUUGGGCAGCUCCAUCACGAUGGGCUUCACUGGUGGAGAGAUGGGCAGCUCAACCACAAUGGGCUCCACUGGUGGAGAGAUGGGCCGUUCAAUCACAAUGGGAUUAGGUGGUGGGGAGAUGGGCAGCUCAACCACAAUGGGCUCCACUGGUGGAGAGAUGGGCAGCUCCACCACGAUUGGCUUCACUGGUCGAGAGAUGGGCUCCUCAACCACGAUGGACUCCACUGGAGGUGGAGGGAAGAAAUCCUGGGCCCUUUGACAUCUCUGAGUUGUAGGUGGUGGGGAAUAAUCCGAUAGGGAGGGAGGAGGAAGAGUAGUUCUGGCCUGUGGAACUGAAGUUUCCAUGUCUUUCUUUCUUUUUUUAUGACGCUGUGUCAGAGCCUUCAGUGGCUUAUGUUUUGUCAGUGGUUGGUCAAAUUGGAAAAGGACAUAAACAAAUCAAAUUGUAUUCGUCACAUACGCCGAAUACAAGUGUAGACCUUACCAUGAAAUGCAUACUCACAAGCCCUUAACCAACAAUGAAGUUUUAAGAAAUUAGGAAUCAAGAAAAUAUUUACUAAAUAAGCUAAAGUUUUCUACGAAGCAUAUGUAAACGUGUGAAUUGCUGAUUGUAGUUAAACUAGGACAAUGAUUUACAUUUUAAAGGGACAGUUUGGAGUGAGUCGCCUACCUCAAAUCUCUGAAGAGACUCAGCUUCCACUGGAGCGAUCGGCAGCUCAAACAUGAUGGGUUUCACUGGUGGAGAGAUGGGCAGCUCAACCACAACAGGCUUCACUGGUGGAGAGAUGGGCAGCUCAACCAUGAUGGGCUCCACUGGUGGAGAGAAGGGCCGUUCAACCACGACAGGCUUCACUGGUGGAGAGAUGGGCAGCUCAACCAUGAUGGGCUUCAAUGGUGGAUAAAUGGGCAGCUCAACCACGAAGGGUUUCACUGCUGGAGAGUUGGACAGCUCCACCACGAUGGGCUUCACUGGUCGAGAGAUGGGCUCCUCAACCAAGAUUGGCUUCACUGGAGGAGAGAUCGUUGGCUCAACAACGAUGGGCUUCACUGGUGGAGAGAUGGGAAGCUCGACCACGAUGGGCUUCACGGGUGGAGAGACGGGCUGCUCAACCAUGAUAGGUUUCACUGGUGGAGAGAUGGGCAGCUCAACCACAAUGGGCUUCACUGGUGGAGAAAUGGGCAGCUCAACCACAACGGGCUUCAGUGGUGGAGGGAUCGGCGACUCAACCACGAUGGGCUUCGCUGGUGGAGAGAUGGGAAGCUCGACCAUGAUGGGCUUCGCUGGUGGAGAGAUGGGCUAUAUAUAGUGGUAUAGAACAGAAGGUUAGUUAAAAAACAACACAAAUCAAUUACAAUGUAAUUGACGCAUGGCCUAAAAUAUACCUGUUUGCUUACUUAUGAAAAUGCAAACCAUAAUAAUCAUCCUCUCCCUCAUCAUCCAUCCUGACUCAUGCUCUCUCAUCUAAAGAAGAAACGUACCUGUGCCCUACUCUGUGUGCACAAAAGGGUAACAAAGUACCACAUGAAGAACUUAGAUUGGUACUCCUGACACUUCUGCCAUGCAACCUCAAUCAUCUCCUCAAGAGUCCCAAUGCUACAGGAGAGGAAACACACCAGGUUGUUUAGAAUGGGUGGAAGGAGCCUUCACACCGUGCAUACGAAAAAGUAUUUCGAUUUCAGACCUGAACUCAAUCUAGGUACUCUGGGUAAUAGAGGUAAUCUGAAACUCCAUUACAUUGGUCCAAUAUCUCAAUCAACUUCACUGUAAUUAUAGCACUCCAAAUACCAACAUGAAUGUAUCUGGUGGACAGUGUAGCUGUGCAGAUGUCAAUGCUGUACUAAUAAACAAAGUACUUACUUUGCAAGAGGACCAGGGAAUGCUGUGAGGACUCCAGGCUGCUCCUGUGGGAUCUGCUGAGGGAGAUCAGAGGAAGCAGGGAAGAGGAGAUGGACAGGAGCAUCGACAAUCUGAGAAGAACCAGCCUCUAUUUCCCAGUUGGCCCCUUGACCAGGUUGAUCCUGUUGGUUCACUGGUGGAGAGAUGGGAUGGUCGACCAAGAUAGGCUUCACUGGUGGAGAGAUGGGCCGUUCAACCACGACGGGUUUCACUGGUGGAGAGAUUGGCAGCUCAACCAUUAUGGGCUUCACUAGUGGGGAGAUGGGAUGGUCGACCACGAUGGGCUUCACUGGUGGAGAGAUGGGCCGUUCAACCACAAUGGGAUUAGGUGGUGGAGAGAUGGGCAGCUCAACCACAAUGGGCUUCACUGGUCGAGAGAGGGGCUCCUCAACCACGAUGGAAUCCACUGGAGGUGGAGGGAAGAAAUCCUGGGCCCUUUGACAUCUCUGAGUUGUAGGUGGUGGGGAAUAAUCCGAUAGGGAGGGAGGAGGAAGAGUAGUUCUUGCCUGUGGAACUGAAGUUUCCAUGUCUUUCUUUCUUUUUUUAUGACGCUGUGUCAGAGCCUUCAGUGGCUUAUGUUUUGUCAGUGGUUGGUCAAAUUGGAAAAGGACAUAAACAAAUCAAAUUGUAUUCGUCACAUACGCCGAAUACAAGUGUAGACCUUACCAUGAAAUGCAUACUCACAAGCCCUUAACCAACAAUGAAGUUUUAAGAAAUUAUGAAUCAAGAAAAUAUUUACUAAAUAAGCUAAAGUUUUCUACAAAGCAUAUGUAAACGUGUGAAUUGCUGAUUGUAGUUAAACUAGGACAAUGAUUUACAUUUUAAAGGGACAGUUUGGAGUGAGUCGCCUACCUCAAAUCUCUGAAGAGACUCAGCUUCCACUGGAGCGAUCGGCAGCUCAAACAUGAUGGGUUUCACUGGUGGAGAGAUGGGCAGCUCAACCAUGAUGGGCUCCACUGGUGGAGAGAAGGGCCGUUCAACCACGACAGGCUUCACUGGUGGAGAGGUAGGCGGCUCAACCAUGAUGGGUUUCACUGGUGGAGAGAUGGGCAGCUCAACCAUGAUGGGCUUCAAUGGUGGAUAAAUGGGCAGCUCAACCACGAAGGGUUUCACUGCUGGAGAGUUGGACAGCUCCACCACGAUGGGCUUCACUGGUCGAGAGAUGGGCUCCUCAACCAAGAUUGGCUUCACUAGAGGAGAGAUCGUUGGCUCAACAACGAUGGGCUUCACUGGUGGAGAGAUGGGAAGCUCGACCACGAUGGGCUUCACGGGUGGAGAGACGGGCUGCUCAACCAUGAUAGGUUUCACUGGUGGAGAGAUGGGCAGCUCAACCACAAUGGGCUUCACUGGUGGAGAAAUGGGCAGCUCAACCACAACGGGCUUCAGUGGUGGAGGGAUCGGCGACUCAACCACAACAGGCUUCACUGGUGGAGAGAUGGGCAGCUCAACCACAACAGGCUUCACUGGUGGAGAGAUGGGCAGCUCAACCAUGAUGGGCUCCACUGGUGGAGAGAAGGGCCGUUCAACCACGACAGGCUUCACUGGUGGAGAGGUAGGCGGCUCAACCAUGAUGGGUUUCACUGGUGGAGAGAUGGGCAGCUCAACCAUGAUGGGCUUCACUGGUGGAUAAAUGGGCAGCUCAACCACGAAGGGUUUCACUGGUGGAGAGUUGGACAGCUCCACCACGAUGGGCUUCACUGGUCGAGAGAUGGGCUCCUCAACCAAGAUUGGCUUCAAUGGAGGAGAGAUCGGUGGCUCAACCACGAUGGGCUUCACUGGUGGAGAGAUGGGAAACUCGACCACGAUGGGCUUCACGGGUGGAGAGACGGGCUGCUCAACCACGAUAGGUUUCACUGGUGGAGAGAUGGGCAGCUCAACCACAACGGGCUUCAGUGGUGGAGGGAUCGGCGACUCAACCACGAUGGGCUUCGCUGGUGGAGAGAUGGGAAGCUCGACCACGAUGGGCUUCGCUGGUGGAGAGAUGGGCUAUAUAUAGUGGUAUAGAACAGAAGGUUAGUUAAAAAACAACACAAAUCAAUUACAAUGUAAUUGACGCAUGGCCUAAAAUAUACCUGUUUGCUUACUUAUGAAAAUGCAAACCAUAAUAAUCAUCCUCUCCCUCAUCAUCCAUCCUGACUCAUGCUCUCUCAUCUAAAGAAGAAACGUACCUGUGCCCUACUCUGUGUGCACAAAAGGGUAACACAGUACCACAUGAAGAACAUAGAUUGGUACUCCUGACACUUCUGCCAUGCAACCUCAAUCAUCUCCUCAAGAGUCCCAAUGCUACAGGAGAGGAAACACACCAGGUUGUUUAGAAUGGGUGGAAGGAGGCUUCACACCGUGGAUACGAAACAGUCUUUCGAUUUCAGAACUGAACUCAAUCUAGGUACUCUGGGUAAUACAGGUAAUCUGAAACUCCAUUGCAUUGGUCCAAUAUCUCAAUCAACUUCACUGUAAUUAUAGCACUCCAAAUCCCAACAUGAAUGUAUCUGGUUGACAGUGUAGCUGUGCAGAUGCCAUUGCUGUACUAAUAAACCAAGUACUUACUUUGACAGGGGACCAGGGAAUGCUGUGAGGACUCCAGGCUGCUCUGGUUGGAUCUGCUGAGGGAGAUCAGAGGAAGUAGGGAAGGGGUGAUGGGCAGGAGCAUCGACAAUCUGAGAAGAACCAGCCUCUAUUUCCCAGUUGGCCCCUUGACCAGGUUGAUGCUGGUGGUUGUAACAGUCCUUCCCGUUCUCAUACUUGUACGCAUACUCAUAUUUGUACUCAUUGUUGUUUAGGGACCACCUCUCUGUAAAAAGAAUAAGAGCAGAAGCUUGAUCCUCUCAU